AACGAACGCUGGCGGCAUGCCUAACACAUGCAAGUCGAACGAAGGCUUCGGCCUUAGUGGCGCACGGGUGCGUAACGCGUGGGAAUCUGCCCUUUGGUUCGGAAUAACAGCUGGAAACGGCUGCUAAUACCGGAUGAUGACGAAAGUCCAAAGAUUUAUCGCCAGAGGAUGAGCCCGCGUUGGAUUAGGUAGUUGGUGGGGUAAAGGCCUACCAAGCCGACGAUCCGUAGCUGGUCUGAGAGGAUGAUCAGCCACACUGGGACUGAGACACGGCCCAGACUCCUACGGGAAGCAGCAGUGGGGAAUAUUGGACAAUGGGCGCAAGCCUGAUCCAGCAAUGCCGCGUGAGUGAUGAAGGCCCUAGGGUUGUAAAGCUCUUUUACCCGGGAAGAUAAUGACUGUACCGGGAGAAUAAGCCCCGGCUAACUCCGUG
This 433-nucleotide ribosomal RNA is filed under the name uncultured bacterium. RNAcentral describes it as "partial 16S ribosomal RNA". It matches the Rfam family "Bacterial small subunit ribosomal RNA", at positions 29 to 507 of the family's 1533-position model. The record is from RNAcentral.